GUAUUUCAACCAUGCUAUC
This 19-nucleotide microRNA is filed under the name Ananas comosus (pineapple). RNAcentral describes it as "microRNA s0263_c095". The record is from RNAcentral. Lineage: Eukaryota; Viridiplantae; Streptophyta; Magnoliopsida; Poales; Bromeliaceae.